UAAAUCCGCACACCGUUUAGCCUGAGGCGUGAUGCGUAGCCCGAUUGGGGUGAAGUUGGUGAUCUAGUACUGUCGAGAAAAGCCUCUAGCGAUGUGGAUGUAUGGCCCGUACCCGAAACCGACACAGGUAGUCAGGUUGAAAAUACUAAGGCGUUCGGGUGAACUGUGGUUAAGGAACUCGGCAAAUUGCCCCCGUAACUUCGGAAGAAGGGGGGCCACAACCGGUGAUCCAAACAUGCGUUGGUGAGCUGGUUGGGGUCGCAGAAA
This 267-nucleotide ribosomal RNA is filed under the name Nephroselmis pyriformis. RNAcentral's name for it is "partial Bacterial large subunit ribosomal RNA". It matches the Rfam family "Bacterial large subunit ribosomal RNA", at positions 1537 to 1785 of the family's 2925-position model. Lineage: Eukaryota; Viridiplantae; Chlorophyta; Nephroselmidophyceae; Nephroselmidales; Nephroselmidaceae. The record is from RNAcentral.